This 4874-nucleotide long non-coding RNA is filed under the name Sus scrofa (pig). RNAcentral's name for it is "lncRNA (ENSSSCG00000063315.1)". Lineage: Eukaryota; Metazoa; Chordata; Mammalia; Artiodactyla; Suidae. The record is from RNAcentral.
CACUCCUGUGGUAUAUGAAGAUUCCCAGGCUAGGGGUCGAAUCAGAGCUACAGCUGCCAGUCUACACCACAGCCACAGCAACACCAGAUCUGAGCCGCAUCUGUGACAUACACCACAGCUCAUGGCAAAGCCGGAUCCUUAACCCACUGAGCAAGGCUAGGGAUGGAACCCUCAUCCUCAUGGAUACUAGUCAGGUUCGUUACUGCUAAGCCACGCCGGCAGCUACAUGGUAUUUUUUUAGAGUUCCACAUUAGUUCUGGCAGAUGGAAAUUAUAUCCCCAUAGCACUGAUUUUAACACCAAGGCUUAGAGAGAUGUUAAGUAGCUUUUCUGAGGAUACACAGCAUGGAGCCUGGGUUAGGACCUGGGUCUGCCUGACUCAAGCUCAGGGUAUCAUGACAUAGCGAGCCAGCAGCGGGCCUCCAGUGUACAGUGAUUGGAUUCCAGCUUGGGCCAUUGACUGAGGCUGCGAGUACCCUCUGAAGGCCAAUAAAGGAUGGAGCCCUCUGCCUAGCCUCUGACCACUGGCUUGGGAUGAAUUAACUCAAUCCACUUGGAAGGGAGGAUGACCUUGACCGGCCUUGAGGAUGUCAGAUAACUCUCAUCUUUUCACCCUCCGCCCCCCUGGCCCUUCACUCUGAGUCACCACUUGAGCUCAGCAAGGAUCCAUUCAGCAAGUGUGAAGGAGAAGAGAGUGAGUGCUGCAGGGAGGGAGGGGCAGGGCACCAGGAAGAACAGGAGGGGGAGGAAGGAGGGACAGAACAGGGGACGAGGAACCAAAGGCAGAGAGAGCUCUGCCCUCGGAGGAUGCUCCCAGGACCAUGACCAACAUCACCUCCUGGGUCUCCCUCUUCGUGAAAGCAGAAGCCUUGUCUCCUCUUUCUUUUGAACUGGCCAAAGGUCGAGCACAGAGCAACGCACAGAAGAUGCUUGUUGGUUGGGUUUUCUUUACUAGGAGCACAGAGUGGAGGUGGCAACAGUCUCCAACAGGCAUCCCCAGGGCCACAGAUGAUGGUCUCGGGAUAAGGUCUCACUUGGUCCUUGUGAAAAGGAUGUAAGGGCUCCAGACAGUAGAGAGGCAGCAUUAAGAAGGUGUUUCCAGUCAAGCAAGCAGGCGUGGACUGCUUUCACAGAGUCAGAGGUCCAAAAGAGAGGAGGCCAUAGCCUUGCUUGUCUCUGCCGAGAAAAGCCAGCUCAGGAGCGGCUUUUGUGGUAAGUGCUUUAGAGGGUUUCAGACAGAGAAGGGUGACCGGGAUGCAGACCGAUUUCAAUGAUGGCACAGGAGAGACAGGAACAGAACUGGGCAUGUUUAGCCAAUAGAAGACUUCCGGGAGCAAACUAUCUAACAUUUGAAGAGCCAUGAGAGAAUGGACUUGACCAUUUGGCCCAUAAAGUGUGGAAUUCAGGCUUUUGCUGGAAACUGCAGGAAAAAAGAUGAUUUGGGCCCCAUGUGAGGACCCAGAAGUGAGGGCUGAGAAGCAUGCCAUGUGGCAGAACUUCCUGACCUUGUUCACAGCACAGCUCACACAGAAACUGAUCACAUCUGUAUCACUCCCGGGGGGCCAAGGAACAGACGAGGCUGCCCAAAGCCACAGGUGACUGGUGAUGGGACUCUGACCACCCACGUGGCAGCUGAGGAAAAUUCACAAAAUGUGCCUGAUGGGAGUUACACUGAAGGUGCUCUGCUGUAGGUGUAGUGAGCUUCCAGUCACUGGAGGUGUGCAAGUAAAGACUGGAUGAGGGUUGAGAGGAGAAAGGCUGCUGCAGAAAGGGUUCCAGGCUUAGAAAGCAAGUUGGUCCCUUUGAGCUCAGAGCUCCCAAGCUUCUAGACCUCCCGGGAGGACCUGCAGAGGGAGGCACAGGGGCUCCCUGCACAUGUACAGAUCCGAGUCCUCCUCCUGCAAUUCCGAGAGCAGGGGGUUUCGACAUCAGCCAGCCCCUCACAAUGAUGACCCGUAGGAGACGCAAGUGACCCUGGGGUACGACUAUCCAAUCAGCCUCCCACCCCUGCGUGGGAUGAGGCCUCCAGAUGGACUGAUGAAAAACACCCAAAUUGAGUUCAAUUGAGCAGAAGAAAGGAGGAUGGAUCCCAUUCAUUAUCCCUAGUGAGACCCUCAUGCAUCAUCCCAAACAGAGCAGUGCUACUUCAGACAGACAAUGGCAAUUAGUGGUCCAGGACUUUGAUGUUGUCAAAAUAAAGAUCCAUGCUAUGCUCACAGAGUGUGAGAUCACGAGAUGGCUCCAGCUUGGCCCAGUGAGACUGUCUCAGCACAGCUGGUAGGAGGGCGUGGACUGCAGAGCCAGACAGCCCUGGGCUUUACAACUACUGGCUAUGUGACCUUGGGCCAAUUACUUGGCCUCUCUGAUCCUUUACCUCCUCAGCCGUAAAGCAGGUUGGAUAGAUCUCAAUUUACAGGCUUGUUAAAAGGGUUUCAUGAGCUAGCGUGUGGCAUUGCCAUGGACACCCUGUGUUACCUUGAAAAAGUUAACUGCAUUCUUGAAGCCCCAGUGUCUACCUCUAGAAAAUGUCCAUAGAUCACUAAGGUUCUUCAGGCCUUAAGGUCUUUUUUUCUUUUGCUUUGCUUUGCUUAUUUUAUUUUAUUAUUAUUAUUUUUUCAGGCUGCACCUGCAGAUUAUGGAAUUUCUCGAGCAAGGGGUCGAAUCGCAGCUGCAGCUGCCAGCCUACACUACAGCCAUAGCAACACAGGAUCCCAGCCAGAUCCUAAACCCACUGAGUGAGACCAGGGAUGGAACCUGCAUCCUAAUGGAUACUAGUCAAGUUCUUAACCCACUGAGCCACUAUGGGAACUCCAGCCUUAAGGUCUUGCACUCUAGUUCUUGGGAACUUGCAGUAAAGAAAAGCCACUAUGGAGUUCCCACUGUGGCACAGUGGGUUAAGGAUCUGUGUUGUCACAGUGGUGGCCAAAAAAAAGAAAAGAAAAGAAAAGCCACUGGUCCUUGGAACUUGGUACCUCUCUGCCUCCUUCAACACCAAACUCACUCCCUCAAGUGUCCCCAGGUCACUUCCCCUCUCACUCCUCACCCCCCGUCAAACCCAGACACCAACUUUGCAAUCUUACAAGACCCAGAACCCACCAGCUUUUGCUUCAAGAAGGAUUUCAGUGUCCCCAGUCAGGUGCCCUCCACCUCUGCCCUCCACAAAAGAUAGCCCACGCCUUGGAAGAUAAAAAGCCACUAAUUGUUUCCCUUUCUCUUUCUAUAUUGAUUAGGAGAGUACAAGGCUACUGGAGUUUCAUCGACAGCCAGCUGGCUCUCUUGCCUGGGGUAGAUGGUCUUUUACAAAACAGAGAGAAAGAGAAAAACUCUGUUGGGUCAUGAAGUCAGAGGCCAGGUGAGGGGUGGACUGGGUGGCUGGACAAGGUGGCGGUAUGGUUCCGCCUUUCUGGGACGGGCCUCAGGGAUCACACCUGCCCACCUCCAGCCCAGCCCAGGUGUAGAAGGGGAGGCCAGUGGAUUCGCACAUCUUUCUGAACCGACACGCUCCGCUGCCCCCUUCAUGCGCACUGGGUCUCAUCGGUUCCUUCUCCUAAUCCCAGCUGCACCCUUCUCCAUCCUGCAGAGUGACCCAGGAGGCCCAUCACCAAGGACUGCAUCACACAUGCACCCCUGCUCUCCAGCUUCCAUCUGAGUUCAUCAGAGGAAACACUGGCCAGGGACUGAAGCUGGGAGGGGAAGAGCCAUUGGGGUAUUUACUCCCGGCUCCCUCCCCGAUUCUAUUAAGGCCAUGACUCCUGCAGCUGCAGCUGCCUCUCAGCCUGGAUGGUAAAACUGUAUCCCCACGGCUCUGCCCUGGGGUGUGUUACCAUCCUUGCUUGGUUUUCCUUAGCUCUGCCUACACUCUGCCAAUAGCUCCUUCAUCAGAUGCUCCCCUCUUUUCUUCUUUUUCAGCCACACCUUAGGCUUAUGGAAGUUCCCAGGCCAGGCCAACAACCCAAUUGAAAAAUGGGCAAAAGACCUGAAUAGACAUUUUUCCAAGGAAGAUGUACAGAUGGCCAACAAGCACAUGACACAAUGCUCAACAUUCCUGAUUAUUAGAGAAAUGCAAAUCAAAACUACCAUGAGAUACCACCUCACACCAGUCAGAAUGGCCAUCAUUAAUAAGUCCACAAAUAACAAAUGCUGGAGGAGGUAUGGAGAAAAAGGAACCCUCCUGCACUGUUGGUGGGAAUGUAAGAUGGUAUAACCACUAUGGAGAUCAGUAUGGAGGUACCUUAGAAAUCUAUACCUAGAACUACUAUAUGACCCAGCAAUCCCACUCUUGGGCAUAUAUCCAGACAAAACUUUCCUUAAAAAAGACACAUGUACCCGCAUGUUCAUUGCAGCUCUAUUCACAAUAGCCAAGACAUGGAAACAACCCAAAUGUCCAUCGACAGACUAUUGGAUUAGGAAGAUGUCGUAUAUAUACACAAUGGAAUACUACUCAGCCAUAAAAAAAAUGAAAAAAAUGCCAUUUGCAGCAACAUGGAUGGAAUUAGAGACACUCAUACUGAGUGAAGUAAGUCAGAAAGAGAAAGACAAAUACUGUAUGAUAUCACUUAUAUCUGGAAUCUAAUAUAGGGCACAAAUGACCAUUUCCACAGAAAAGAAAAUCAUGGACUUGCAGAAUAGACUUGUGGUUGCCAAGGGGAAGAGGGAGGGAGUGGGGUGGUUGGGGAGCUUGGGGUUAGAUACAAACCAUUGCCUUUGGAAUGGAUUAGCAAUGAGAUCCUGCUGUGUAGCACUGAGAACUAUGUCUAGUCACUUAUGAUGGAACAGGAUAAUGUGUGAAAAUGGAAUGUGUACAUGUAUGUGUAACUGGGUCACCAUGCUAUACAGGAGAAAAAAAAUUGUAUUGGGGAAAUAACUAUUUAAAAA